UACGUAGGGUGCAAGCGUUGUCCGGAAUUAUUGGGCGUAAAGAGCUCGUAGGUGGUUUGUCGCGUUGUUCGUGAAAACUCACAGCUCAACUGUGGGCGUGCGGGCGAUACGGGCAGACUUGAGUACUGCAGGGGAGACUGGAAUUCCUGGUGUAGCGGUGGAAUGCGCAGAUAUCAGGAGGAACACCGAUGGCGAAGGCAGGUCUCUGGGCCGAUACUGACGCUGAGGAGCGAAAGCGUGGGGAGCGAACAGG
RNAcentral lists this ribosomal RNA (253 nucleotides) under uncultured bacterium. RNAcentral describes it as "partial 16S ribosomal RNA". It matches the Rfam family "Bacterial small subunit ribosomal RNA", at positions 524 to 776 of the family's 1533-position model. The record is from RNAcentral.